UACGUAGGGGGCAAGCGUUAUCCGGAUUUACUGGGUGUAAAGGGAGCGUAGACGGCAAUGCAAGUCUGGAGUGAAAGGCGGGGGCCCAACCCCCGGACUGCUCUGGAAACUGUAUAGCUGGAGUGCAGGAGAGGUAAGUGGAAUUCCUAGUGUAGCGGUGAGAUGCGUAGAUAUUAGGAGGAACACCAGUGGCGAAGGCGGCUUACUGGACUGUAACUGACGUUGAGGCUCGAAAGCGUGGGGAGCAAACAGG
This 253-nucleotide ribosomal RNA is filed under the name uncultured bacterium. RNAcentral's name for it is "partial 16S ribosomal RNA". It matches the Rfam family "Bacterial small subunit ribosomal RNA", at positions 524 to 776 of the family's 1533-position model. The record is from RNAcentral.